Cygnus olor (mute swan) is the source of this 243-nucleotide long non-coding RNA. RefSeq lists it as uncharacterized. The transcript has 3 exons. The record is from RefSeq and is a predicted model, not a curated record. NCBI's taxonomy places the organism in Eukaryota, Metazoa, Chordata, Aves, Anseriformes, Anatidae.
CAGCUGGUCAUUCUAUGAUCCUUUGAAAUAUAUUUUGUGGGAGUCAUUAAUAUUGGCUGAGUUUGAGGAAUUUGGUCCUGUGUGAGUGCCAUCUGGUCACCCUGCUCACAGGGCUCAUCUGAAGAGCUUGAAAUGAGGCUUGAGACAAGUACAGGAAAAACAGGGAUCUCACUCAUUCACUUCUCAGGAGACAUCGUUUUCUGAAGUCAUGAAUAUGAGAGAGCAGCGCAUUAUCAAGAAUGG